RNAcentral lists this transfer RNA (73 nucleotides) under Trichonephila inaurata madagascariensis. It matches the Rfam family "tRNA". Rfam says of the family: Transfer RNA (tRNA) molecules are approximately 80 nucleotides in length. Their secondary structure includes four short double-helical elements and three loops (D, anti-codon, and T loops). Further hydrogen bonds mediate the characteristic L-shaped molecular structure. tRNAs have two regions of fundamental functional importance: the anti-codon, which is responsible for specific mRNA codon recognition, and the 3' end, to which the tRNAs corresponding amino acid is attached (by aminoacyl-tRNA synthetases). tRNAs cope with the degeneracy of the genetic code in two manners: having more than one tRNA (with a specific anti-codon) for a particular amino acid; and 'wobble' base-pairing, i.e. permitting non-standard base-pairing at the 3rd anti-codon position. Lineage: Eukaryota; Metazoa; Arthropoda; Arachnida; Araneae; Nephilidae. The record is from Rfam by way of RNAcentral.
AUCCCUGUAGCGCAAUGAAUAGCGCGUUGGACUUCUAAUCCAAAGGUCGUGGGUUCGAAUCCCACCUGGGAUG